This 609-nucleotide small RNA is filed under the name Pan troglodytes (chimpanzee). RNAcentral's name for it is "retained intron". Lineage: Eukaryota; Metazoa; Chordata; Mammalia; Primates; Hominidae. The record is from RNAcentral.
GGGCUGAAGGCUGCCACCAAGAGACAGAAAUAUGAAAGGAUUAGCGAGAAGAAAAUGUCCACCCCCAUCGAAGUGUUGUGUAAAGGCUACCCUUCCGAAUUUGCCACAUACCUGAAUUUCUGCCGUUCCUUGCGUUUUGACGACAAGCCUGACUACUCGUACCUGCGGCAGCUUUUCCGGAAUCUGUUCCAUCGCCAGGGCUUCUCCUAUGACUACGUGUUCGACUGGAACAUGCUCAAAUUUGGUGCCAGCCGGGCCGCCGAUGACGCCGAGCGGGAGCGCAGGGACCGAGAGGAGCGGCUGAGACACUCGCGGAACCCGGCUACCCGCGGCCUCCCUUCCACAGCCUCCGGCCGCCUGCGGGGGACGCAGGAAGUGGCUCCCCCCACACCCCUCACCCCUACCUCACACACGGGUGAGUGCCCCCCUCCCAGCGCUCUGGGGCUGGCUCUGGGGUAACUUCUUGUGUCUUGGGGUUGGUGGGGACAACAGGGUACUUGGUGGUGGACGCUGUAAGUGCCCUGUGUCAGGCGAUGCUCGCUCCUGAGGGUGGAUGAGCCAGGCUGCCCAGGCGCCUUUAGAAAUGCGGGCACCUGCUGGUGUGCGUGA